UUUCAUUUUCCAUUUGUAUAAACUCUUCAAAUGCAGUGACGAUGGUUGUAAUUCAAGCCUAUUUCUUUUCUUUUCUUUUCUUUUUUUCCUUCCAGCCAGCCUUUCUGCAAACCAACAGCAAGGAGUCAUUUAGAACGCCAACAGUGGGCUCAGCAGGUUGGCUGCAAAUCAGAAUCGGGGCAGGUGACCGAAGCAGAAGGUUUGAUGGCAAAUACAUGCUCCACCCACUCUAGAGACCAGCCACUUCCAUAGCAAUGCUGCCAGCUCCAUUCCUGUCCUGAGAUUUCUUGCGGCAUGACUGGUGACACAUAGGCUCCAGUUACAACCUCUUGGAAAAAAAGGUACAGAUGGAUUGGACAGUAUUAAGCUACAAGAAAUUGCAAGGCAGUGCUCUCCACUUACAUACUGGAUGUGAUGUUGAAGCCCCCAACCCGAGCACUAAUGGUUUGGAUAAGACCAGGCCUGCAGGAAAAGUGAAGGCAAAACUGGAGAAGUCAUGGAGUUUCUCUGCACCUCCAAUCCCCAUUUGUGAAAUGGCGACAAAAGGAGUUCCAUCCUUUUCUGGGCCCUUGCACAGGUAAAUAUAUAAGAUGUUGCACAUUGCUCAGUAUGGUAAUGGGGUGC
RNAcentral lists this long non-coding RNA (624 nucleotides) under Crocodylus porosus (Australian saltwater crocodile). RNAcentral's name for it is "lncRNA (ENSCPRG00005002932.1)". The record is from RNAcentral. Lineage: Eukaryota; Metazoa; Chordata; Crocodylia; Crocodylidae.